Molecule: unclassified non-coding RNA, 211 nt
Filed under: plant metagenome
Description: partial contains small subunit ribosomal RNA, internal transcribed spacer 1, and 5.8S ribosomal RNA
Source: RNAcentral
UUUCCGUAGGUGAACCUGCGGAAUGAUCAUUCAUAGUAAAGUGUUUUAUGGCACUUUUUAAAAAUCCAUAUCCACCUUGUGUGCAAUGUUAGAUCUCGUCAAUCUUGGCGAGAUUUUUAUACAUCAACUCAUUCUUUAACUAAUUUGUCUGAAAAAUAUUAUGAAUACUUAAUUCAAAAUACAACUUUCAACAACGGAUCUCUUGGCUCUC